GGUUAAGCGACUAAGCGUACACGGUGGAUGCCCUGGCAGUCAGAGGCGAUGAAGGACGUGCUAAUCUGCGAUAAGCGUCGGUAAGGUGAUAUGAACCGUUAUAACCGGCGAUUUCCGAAUGGGGAAACCCAGUGUGUUUCGACACACUAUCAUUAACUGAAUCCAUAGGUUAAUGAGGCGAACCGGGGGAACUGAAACAUCUAAGUACCCCGAGGAAAAGAAAUCAACCGAGAUUCCCCCAGUAGCGGCGAGCGAACGGGGAGCAGCCCAGAGCCUGAAUCAGUGUGUGUGUUAGUGGAAGCGUCUGGAAAGGCGCGCGAUACAGGGUGACAGCCCCGUACACAAAAAUGCACAUGCUGUGAGCUCGAUGAGUAGGGCGGGACACGUGGUAUCCUGUCUGAAUAUGGGGGGACCAUCCUCCAAGGCUAAAUACUCCUGACUGACCGAUAGUGAACCAGUACCGUGAGGGAAAGGCGAAAAGAACCCCGGCGAGGGGAGUGAAAAAGAACCUGAAACCGUGUACGUACAAGCAGUGGGAGCACGCUUAGGCGUGUGACUGCGUACCUUUUGUAUAAUGGGUCAGCGACUUAUAUUCUGUAGCAAGGUUAACCGAAUAGGGGAGCCGAAGGGAAACCGAGUCUUAACUGGGCGUUAAGUUGCAGGGUAUAGACCCGAAACCCGGUGAUCUAGCCAUGGGCAGGUUGAAGGUUGGGUAACACUAACUGGAGGACCGAACCGACUAAUGUUGAAAAAUUAGCGGAUGACUUGUGGCUGGGGGUGAAAGGCCAAUCAAACCGGGAGAUAGCUGGUUCUCCCCGAAAGCUAUUUAGGUAGCGCCUCGUGAAUUCAUCUCCGGGGGUAGAGCACUGUUUCGGCAAGGGGGUCAUCCCGACUUACCAACCCGAUGCAAACUGCGAAUACCGGAGAAUGUUAUCACGGGAGACACACGGCGGGUGCUAACGUCCGUCGUGAAGAGGGAAACAACCCAGACCGCCAGCUAAGGUCCCAAAGUCAUGGUUAAGUGGGAAACGAUGUGGGAAGGCCCAGACAGCCAGGAUGUUGGCUUAGAAGCAGCCAUCAUUUAAAGAAAGCGUAAUAGCUCACUGGUCGAGUCGGCCUGCGCGGAAGAUGUAACGGGGCUAAACCAUGCACCGAAGCUGCGGCAGCGACACUAUGUGUUGUUGGGUAGGGGAGCGUUCUGUAAGCCUGUGAAGGUGUGCUGUGAGGCAUGCUGGAGGUAUCAGAAGUGCGAAUGCUGACAUAAGUAACGAUAAAGCGGGUGAAAAGCCCGCUCGCCGGAAGACCAAGGGUUCCUGUCCAACGUUAAUCGGGGCAGGGUGAGUCGACCCCUAAGGCGAGGCCGAAAGGCGUAGUCGAUGGGAAACAGGUUAAUAUUCCUGUACUUGGUGUUACUGCGAAGGGGGGACGGAGAAGGCUAUGUUGGCCGGGCGACGGUUGUCCCGGUUUAAGCGUGUAGGCUGGUUUUCCAGGCAAAUCCGGAAAAUCAAGGCUGAGGCGUGAUGACGAGGCACUACGGUGCUGAAGCAACAAAUGCCCUGCUUCCAGGAAAAGCCUCUAAGCAUCAGGUAACAUCAAAUCGUACCCCAAACCGACACAGGUGGUCAGGUAGAGAAUACCAAGGCGCUUGAGAGAACUCGGGUGAAGGAACUAGGCAAAAUGGUGCCGUAACUUCGGGAGAAGGCACGCUGAUAUGUAGGUGAAGUCCCUUGCGGAUGGAGCUGAAAUCAGUCGAAGAUACCAGCUGGCUGCAACUGUUUAUUAAAACACAGCACUGUGCAAACACGAAAGUGGACGUAUACGGUGUGACGCCUGCCCGGUGCCGGAAGGUUAAUUGAUGGGGUCAGCGCAAGCGAAGCUCUUGAUCGAAGCCCCGGUAAACGGCGGCCGUAACUAUAACGGUCCUAAGGUAGCGAAAUUCCUUGUCGGGUAAGUUCCGACCUGCACGAAUGGCGUAAUGAUGGCCAGGCUGUCUCCACCCGAGACUCAGUGAAAUUGAACUCGCUGUGAAGAUGCAGUGUACCCGCGGCAAGACGGAAAGACCCCGUGAACCUUUACUAUAGCUUGACACUGAACAUUGAGCCUUGAUGUGUAGGAUAGGUGGGAGGCUUUGAAGUGUGGACGCCAGUCUGCAUGGAGCCGACCUUGAAAUACCACCCUUUAAUGUUUGAUGUUCUAACGUGGACCCGUGAUCCGGGUUGCGGACAGUGUCUGGUGGGUAGUUUGACUGGGGCGGUCUCCUCCUAAAGAGUAACGGAGGAGCACGAAGGUUGGCUAAUCCUGGUCGGACAUCAGGAGGUUAGUGCAAUGGCAUAAGCCAGCUUGACUGCGAGCGUGACGGCGCGAGCAGGUGCGAAAGCAGGUCAUAGUGAUCCGGUGGUUCUGAAUGGAAGGGCCAUCGCUCAACGGAUAAAAGGUACUCCGGGGAUAACAGGCUGAUACCGCCCAAGAGUUCAUAUCGACGGCGGUGUUUGGCACCUCGAUGUCGGCUCAUCACAUCCUGGGGCUGAAGUAGGUCCCAAGGGUAUGGCUGUUCGCCAUUUAAAGUGGUACGCGAGCUGGGUUUAGAACGUCGUGAGACAGUUCGGUCCCUAUCUGCCGUGGGCGCUGGAGAACUGAGGGGGGCUGCUCCUAGUACGAGAGGACCGGAGUGGACGCAUCACUGGUGUUCGGGUUGUCAUGCCAAUGGCACUGCCCGGUAGCUAAAUGCGGAAGAGAUAAGUGCUGAAAGCAUCUAAGCACGAAACUUGCCCCGAGAUGAGUUCUCCCUGACUCCUUGAGAGUCCUGAAGGAACGUUGAAGACGACGACGUUGAUAGGCCGGGUGUGUAAGCGCAGCGAUGCGUUGAGCUAACCGGUACUAAUGAACCGUGAGGCUUAACCUU
This 2902-nucleotide ribosomal RNA is filed under the name Escherichia coli 2.3916. Its description in RNAcentral is "bacterial LSU rRNA". It matches the Rfam family "Bacterial large subunit ribosomal RNA". The record is from RNAcentral. Lineage: Bacteria; Pseudomonadati; Pseudomonadota; Gammaproteobacteria; Enterobacterales; Enterobacteriaceae.